RNAcentral lists this microRNA precursor (107 nucleotides) under Ictidomys tridecemlineatus (thirteen-lined ground squirrel). Its description in RNAcentral is "miRNA (ENSSTOG00000032280.1)". The record is from RNAcentral. Lineage: Eukaryota; Metazoa; Chordata; Mammalia; Rodentia; Sciuridae.
CAUUUUUUUGAGAUCUCCUAAUAGUACAUAUGUGAGUGUGUGUAUGUGUGUGAAUUUAUAUAUACACAUAUGCACAUACAUUACAUAUAUCAUAUGCAUCUAUAAAC